UACACUUCGAUAACCCUAACGAACAGGAC
Molecule: non-coding RNA, 29 nt
Filed under: Homo sapiens (human)
Lineage: Eukaryota; Metazoa; Chordata; Mammalia; Primates; Hominidae
Source: RNAcentral